Long non-coding RNA from Piliocolobus tephrosceles (Ugandan red Colobus), 1306 nucleotides. Lineage: Eukaryota; Metazoa; Chordata; Mammalia; Primates; Cercopithecidae. The record is from Ensembl.
AUUAAUAAGGUUAGAGUUAAUUGAAAAAUUAGAAAACAUAGAAAACAGUUCUUUUCCUAUGUCUAGUAGGUUGGAAAACAAGUUGUCCUCUCCUGUUAUUAGCAACAGUAAUAAUACUGAUGAUGUAAUAACAAGUGAAACAUAUGACAAGGAUAAUAGAUUUUUUAAUAGUUCUAAUAUGUUAAAAAAAAUAAAUAAAAAGCUAAAUAUAGUGGUGAAAGUUAAAAUAACAUCAAAAGGUAAAGAUUUUUUAAAUAUGGAAAAAGAAAAAAUGGAGAAAGAAAUAAAAACAGGAAAUUCAGAUAUAGGUAUUGUAAAUGAUGGAUCUAAAGCAGAUAAUAAAAUAAACUCAGAAAAUGAGAGUUUUAAAAGUAUGGAAUACACAUCAACAAAAAUAAACGAAUCAAAAGAACUAAAAAAGGAAAUAAUAUAUAAUGAUGAAGAAAAAUAUGGUGAUAAAAAAUGUGAUGAAAAAGAUUAUUCGCUUAGUUAUUCAUCAUAUAGUGAUUAUUACAUAUCAUUUGAAACGUCUUGUAACAAAGAACUAAAUGAUUUUAGUAAUAAAAAACGAAGUGUUUUAGAAAUGAAAAAAUAUAACACGAAGUAUAAUUAUAUGAUUAGUAGUGGCAUUGAUAGUUGUAGUCCCAACAUAACUAACAUAUGUGAUGGUGAUAACGAUAUAAAAAGAUAUAAUGAAGAUUCAUAUAUAACCGUUGACAAUGACAAAAAUGGAAACAAUGGCAAUCUUAAUUUAUCAUUAAAAAUGGAUAUAAAAAAAAAUGAAAUACUUGAAAACUUAAAAUUAGAUUUCAAAGAAAGGUUAGAAAAAAAAAAAAAAAAAAUUAUGAAUAAUACAUUAAAUAAUGGUUGUACUGAAAAUAUGUUAAGCAAUCAUAUAUCUCAGAAUAAAAACAUUACAAAUGAUGAACAAUUAAAUAAUAAUAGAACUGGUCAAAAUUUAAGCGUAUAUACUUUGCAAUGUAAUAAAUUUAAAAAUGACGAAAAAUGUGAUGAACAGUGUUAUGAACAACUUGAUGAAAAGGAUCGUUGUUAUUUAGUAUAUGAAUAUACACCUAACCAUGUUAAUAAAAAUAAGGUCGAAGAUAAUACUAAUAAAAAAACUUAUUCUAAUAACUACAAUACCGAACAUACAUGUGAUGGCUAUAAUAACGAAACGAAUAAGGAUGAAAAUGUUGGUGAUGAUAUACAUAAUGAUAAAAAUUACAGUACUGUUUAUAAUAGUAGUAGUAUUACUGGCAAUAGUAGUAGUAUUACUGGUAAUAGUAGUAGUAUUACUGGCAAUAGU